Molecule: ribosomal RNA, 514 nt
Filed under: Streptomyces sp. LP4
Lineage: Bacteria; Bacillati; Actinomycetota; Actinomycetes; Kitasatosporales; Streptomycetaceae
Description: bacterial SSU rRNA
Rfam family: Bacterial small subunit ribosomal RNA
Source: RNAcentral
CGGUGCAGGAUGAGCCCGCGGCCUAUCAGCUUGUUGGUGAGGUAACGGCUCACCAAGGCGACGACGGGUAGCCGGCCUGAGAGGGCGACCGGCCACACUGGGACUGAGACACGGCCCAGACUCCUACGGGAGGCAGCAGUGGGGAAUAUUGCACAAUGGGCGGAAGCCUGAUGCAACGACGCCGCGUGAGGGAUGACGGCCUUCGGGUUGUAAACCUCUUUCAGCAGGGAAGAAGCGAAAGUGACGGUACCUGCAGAAGAAGCGCCGGCUAACUACGUGCCAGCAGCCGCGGUAAUACGUAGGGCGCAAGCGUUGUCCGGAAUUAUUGGGCGUAAAGAGCUCGUAGGCGGCUUGUCGCGUCGGUUGUGAAAGCCCGGGGCUUAACCCCGGGUCUGCAGUCGAUACGGGCAGGCUAGAGUUCGGUAGGGGAGAUCGGAAUUCCUGGUGUAGCGGUGAAAUGCGCAGAUAUCAGGAGGAACACCGGUGGCGAAGGCGGAUCUCUGGGCCGAUACUG